This is a non-coding RNA of Vicia faba (fava bean), 219 nucleotides long. NCBI's taxonomy places the organism in Eukaryota, Viridiplantae, Streptophyta, Magnoliopsida, Fabales, Fabaceae. The record is from the annotation of a GenBank genome assembly.
AUGGUGACUCUUCAGCUCCCAAACAUAAUCAACUAUAUCCCUCUCGUUUCACUUUUCUCACUCUCUCGUCCGAUGGAGAUUUCCGUUUACUUGCUUCGCCGCGCCGGAAAUUCCUUCGGCGGCGGCGGAGGUCCAACCAGCCUCAAAUCAUCAUCUCUCUGCUUGUCUUCCCUCCUUCUUUCACACUCUCAUCUUAGAUCUCUCAGAAAACAAGCCUAA